Molecule: microRNA, 21 nt
Filed under: Sarcophilus harrisii (Tasmanian devil)
Lineage: Eukaryota; Metazoa; Chordata; Mammalia; Dasyuromorphia; Dasyuridae
Description: Sha-Mir-7373-o8b_3p* (star (passenger))
Source: RNAcentral
CAAGGAGAAAGGAAGGGUUGC